GAUGAACGCUGGCGGCGUGCCUAAUACAUGCAAGUCGAGCGAACAGAUAAGGAGCUUGCUCCUUUGAAGUUAGCGGCGGACGGGUGAGUAACACGUGGGUAACCUACCUAUAAGACUGGGAUAACUUCGGGAAACCGGAGCUAAUACCGGAUAACAUUUAGAACCGCAUGGUUCUAAAGUGAAAGAUGGUUUUGCUAUCACUUAUAGAUGGACCCGCGCCGUAUUAGCUAGUUGGUAAGGUAACGGCUUACCAAGGCGACGAUACGUAGCCGACCUGAGAGGGUGAUCGGCCACACUGGAACUGAGACACGGUCCAGACUCCUACGGGAGGCAGCAGUAGGGAAUCUUCCGCAAUGGGCGAAAGCCUGACGGAGCAACGCCGCGUGAGUGAUGAAGGGUUUCGGCUCGUAAAACUCUGUUAUUAGGGAUGAACAAAUGUGUAAGUAACUGUGCACAUCUUGACGGUACCUAAUCAGAAAGCCACGGCUAACUACGUG
Molecule: ribosomal RNA, 497 nt
Filed under: uncultured bacterium
Lineage: Bacteria
Description: partial 16S ribosomal RNA
Rfam family: Bacterial small subunit ribosomal RNA
Source: RNAcentral